AACUUCCCUAUAAUCAUAGUCGGAGAGCUGAUCAUUAUCAUGAGAAUUGCUGGACGCUUUGCCUUGCGGUUGUGGACUGCUGCUUCAUCAUUGAAGUUUUUGCUGGGGCAUGCGGAGUUGCAUCUGGAGUUGUUGCUACUCCCCCUUUCUGACCAGACUGUGCCAAAGUCUUAAGAAGCUGGUCCUGAAUAGACGAAAA
Molecule: long non-coding RNA, 199 nt
Filed under: Erythranthe guttata (spotted monkey flower)
Lineage: Eukaryota; Viridiplantae; Streptophyta; Magnoliopsida; Lamiales; Phrymaceae
Description: long non-coding RNA (EGUT_LNC003456)
Source: RNAcentral